GACGAACGCUGGCGGCGUGCCUAACACAUGCAAGUCGAACGGAAAGGCCCUGCUUAUGGGGGGUGCUCGAGUGGAGAACGGGUGAGGAACACGUGAGUAACCUGCCCCUGACUUUGGGAUAACUUCAUGCAACUGGAGCUAAUACCGGAUAGGAGCUACUGCUGCAGGGUGGGCGUUGGAAAGUUUAGGUGGUUGGGGAUGGACUCGCGGCUUAUCAGCUUGUUGGAGGGGUAGUGGCUUAGCAAGGCUUUGACGGGUAGCCGGGCUGGGAGGAUGACCUGCCCCGUUGGGACUGGACUGCGGCCCGGACUACUACGGUACGCGGCGGUGCAGUAGAGUGCACUAGGCGCGGAAGCCAGCUGUGACCUAGCCGUGUCGCGUAUGACGUGCAUGCGUUAGGGUUGUACAGCCCCUUGAGCCGAGGCGUGAGUGACGGUAAUGGGUGAAGAAGCACCGGCUAACUACGUG
This 468-nucleotide ribosomal RNA is filed under the name uncultured bacterium. RNAcentral describes it as "partial 16S ribosomal RNA". It matches the Rfam family "Bacterial small subunit ribosomal RNA", at positions 28 to 507 of the family's 1533-position model. The record is from RNAcentral.